This is a long non-coding RNA of Columba livia (rock pigeon), 4040 nucleotides long. RefSeq lists it as uncharacterized. The record is from RefSeq and is a predicted model, not a curated record. The transcript has 2 exons. Lineage: Eukaryota; Metazoa; Chordata; Aves; Columbiformes; Columbidae.
CCCCCCCCCCCCCCCCCCCUCCCCCGCGGCGGGAAACCGGAGAACGGCAGGAACGGCGGCCGGAAUCAGUUAACGGGGCGGGUCAGGGCGGUAAUUAUCGUGCGGGUGUUAAUUGGGGCUCGGCGGGUUAAUGCGUGACCGGCGGGCUGGGGUGUAUCUGGGGGUUUUGAUCGGAACUGGGGUUUUAAAGCCGCGGGUUUGGGGGGGGGGGGGGGCGAUUAAGGCUCCCGGAGCCGCUUUAGCGGCUUAAAUCGUUGUGUUGAACGCGGGAGGAGCCGGUUCGGGGCUUUUCUCAGCAAGCGGGGCUGGUUUGGGUCUAAUUCGGCUUUUAAAAGAUGUUUUUACGUAAUUUUUGGGUGCCGAUUUGUGCCAGAAGGCGCCUUUGAAACCUGUUUAUUGAGGGUUUAUCAGGAGAGUUAAAGUUUAAAGCUCGGGGAGAUUUGGGGCUUUUCCCCGGGAUUUUGAGUCCAAAUCGGUUUUUUUAGAGCCCUUAUUUAUUUAAAUUGUUAUGUUUAAAGGGUUUAUUUGAGGUUUUAUUUGGAACAUUUUGGGCGGGUUUGAGGCUCCUAAGAUUUAAUUGUUGGUUUAUUAUUUGAUUUAUUAUUUCACUGCGUUUUGGGGCUCCUGAAGACGCUGAGUUGUUUCAAUUAUUUAGUGCUGUGAGGAGCCGUUUUGGGGCCGUUGGGGUCUAAAUCGGCUUUUUGAAAGGUUUAUUUAACGCGUUUAAAGUUUGAGGGGCCGAUUUGCGACUUUAAAGCUUUUUGAAUCUACUUAUUGAUAAGAAUUUAUACAAUAGAUUAAUAUUUAAAGCCCGGGGGGAGAUUUGGGGCUGUUUCCCAGGAUUGCGAGUCCAAAUGCGUUUUUUUCUGUUAACCGCUUAUUAAUUUAAAUUAUUAUAUUUAAACGGGGCUUUUUGAGGUUUUAUGAGGGUUUUUUUUAGCAUUUUGGGCGGUUCUGAGGCUCCUAAAGCCGCUUAAUUGUUUAAAUUAUUAAUUGUUAAAAUAAUGUAAGUAGUUGUUGAAAUAAGUGUGUAAGUUAUUGUAUUUAAAGCCGGGAGGGGCAUUUCGUUGCUUUUUGGGGGGUUUUAGGGCUGAAUUCACUUCAUUGAACGUGUCUAGAGCUGGGGGUCCCAGAUCUGGUGCUGAUUUGGCCCCAAAAAAAGCUUUAAAAAUCUAUUUAUUUAUAUAAUUUACUGAAUUAAUAUUUAAGCGGGAACAUGUUCGGCUUUUUUAACCCGCCGCCAUUUUGUCUCCCCCGUCCCGCUCUCCCUCACGCUGAGGGGGCCGAGGAGACGCUCGCUGAUUGGCCGGUGCCAUCUGGCGGGAAAGCCUCCCCCGGCUCAGCCCCGCUCGGCUGUCUCCGAGGGAGAGAAAGGCGCUGAUUGGUCGCUGCCUCUGAGGAGAGAAAGGCGCUGAUUGGUCGCCGCCUCCCUAAACCCACCUCCUGCGCAGAGAACAGCGAAGGCAGCCUGGCCACGCCCCCUCCGGCUGACCGCGCCCCCCCCUCCGGCUGACCGCGCGUGCCCCCCCCCCCCUGCAACUCGGCUGACCGCGUGGCCCCCCCAACUCCAGCUGACUGUGUCCCCCUGCCCCCCGGCUGAUCCCGUGCCCCCCCACUGCACUCCUGCUGACUGUGCGCCCCCCCCACCUCCUCCGGCUGGCCACAUCUCCACUGCACACCAUGGCGGGGAAGGGGCGGGGGGGGGGAUCACAAGGGUCUAUGGGGCGGUGUGGGGGUCAGGGUGGCUGUGGGGUCAAUGGGGUUGUUGUGGGGUGAAACACCCCUGAAGAGGCUGAACACCCUGCAGGUGGGUGACCCACACAGUGCCCCACAGUGCCCCAUAGCACCUCCAUUCUGCCCUACGGAUCCACAACACUGCCCCACAGCACCCUAUAGCUCCUGCUUGCUAUCCCACAGCACCCCAUGGCUUCUCCACUCUGCCCCAUAUGUCUACAGCAGUGCCACAGAGUACCUCAUAUGUCUUCCACUCUGCCCCAUAGCACCCUAUAGCUCCUGUACUCUGCCCCACAGAUCCACAGUGCUGUCCCACAGCACCCUAUAGCUCAUCUGGCCUAUAGACCCACUGUACUGCCCUACAAUGCCCCAUGGCUCCUACACUCUGCCCCAUAGACCCACAACACUGCCUCACAACACCCCAUUGCUCCUGCACUCUGCCCCAUGGAUGCCCAGUACUGCCCCACAGCACCAUAUAGGUCCUGUACUCUGCCCCAUAUAUCCACAGGAGUGCCCUGCAGCACCCCAUGGCUCCUGCACUCUGCCCCAUGGAUGCCCAGUACUGCCCAACAGCACCAUAUAGGUCCUGUACUCUGCCCCAUACAUCCACAGGAGUGCCCCCCAGCACCCUAUGGCUCCUGCAUUCUGACCCAUGGUGGAUGCCCAGUACUGCCCCACAGCACCAUAUAGGUCCUGUACUCUGCCCCAUACAUCCACAGGAGUGCCCCCCAGCACCCUAUGGCUCCUGCAUUCUGACCCAUGGUGGAUGCCCAGUACUGCCCCACAGCACCAUAUAGGUCCUGUACUCUGCCCCAUACAUCCAGAGGAGUGCCCCCCAGCACCCCAUGGCUCCUGCACUCUGCCCCAUGGAUGCCCAGUACUGCCCCACAGCACCGUAUAGCUCCUCUACUCUGCCCCAUACAUCCACAGGAGUGCCCCCCAGCACCCCAUAGUGACUCUACUCUUCCCCAUAGACCCACAGUGCUGCCGCACAGGACUCUACUCUGCCCCUUAGACCCAGAGAGCUGCCCCACAGCAGCCUGUAGGUGCUGCGUUCUGCCCCAUUGGUGCAAAGUGCUGCCCCACUGCGCCCCACACCUCUGUCCACCUGACCACCCUUCCCUCCUGACUGCGCCUGCACUGCCCACUAUGGGUGGGUCACAAGGGUCUAUGGGGCGGUGUGGGGGUCAGGGGGGCUGUGGGGUCAAUGGGGUUGUGGUGUGAAACACCCCUGAAGAGGCUAAACCCCCUACAGGUGAGUGACCCACACAGUGACCCACAGCAGCCCAUAGCCCCUCUGCCCUAUAGAGUCACUGCACCCCAUAGCUGCUUUUACUCUGCACCAUAAAUGGACAGCAGUGCUCCACAGCACCCUAUAUCUCCACUGUGCCCCAUAGACACACAGUGCUGUCCCACAGCACCCCAUAUCUUGUUCACUCUGCCCUAUAGACCCACAGUGUAACCCUACAGCACCCCAUAGUUCCUCUGCCCUAUAGAUUAACAGCACUGUCCCAGAAAACACCAUAGCUUCUUCCCACUAGCCCAUAGGCCAGCAAUUCUGCCCUACAGCGCACUAGCUCCUGCACCCUAUCCCAUAGACCCACAGCAGUGGCCCACAGAUCCAGUCUGCCCUAUACAGCCACAGCACUGCUCUGCAGCACCAUAUACUUCCAGCACUCUGGCCCAUUGAUAUGUAGCACCCCACAGCUGCUGCAUUCUGCCCAUAGAUCGAGAUUCCUGGGUCCCCUCACCCCACCAGCUGUCCUGGGUUGCGAUGCUGCACGGGGCCCUGUGCACAACAAAAUGAGGACAGCAUGGCUGCUGGGCGCCACCCUGCUUGGAAUCCGAGAUGGCUGGGGGGGGAGGGCUGGCAGCCAUGCUGGCACUGCCGGAGGGGCUGUUGGUCUGCGCCGUGCUCAGGCGGCAGUUCCCGGCUGUAUCGGCUGCUCCUGUGGCCCUGCACCCCGCCCAUGGGAACAAGGUGGCUGCCCUGAUGGGCGUGGCCAUCUCGGCUGCUGUGUCCCUGCUGGUGGGCGGGGCCAUGGCUGUCAUGGCUGCCAAGCCUGUGCUGGAAGGGUGGGGCUGAGGUGGGCGGGGCCUGCCUAGGGCGGCCAUUCUGGGGUGGGGCCCAAGGUGGGUGGUGGGGCCUGUGACUCUGUUUGCCCCUGACGGCCAUCUUGGAAAAGGGCAGCGCUGUGCCGCUGCCAUCCUGACGUUGCUCCCCCAGGGCCAUGUUGGGGGAUUUUUAACCUGGUUUUGGGGCCAAUUCUCACCCAAUAAAAUUAAAUAAUGUAAAAAAACCUUAA